UGAAAAUAACCCAUUUUAAACUGCACUGAAGUUAACAUCAAAUGAUUUCUUUGAAGAGAAAGUGUUGUAGGAUCACAACUUUCUGAGCAUUAAAACUAAAGACCAAAACUCUCCAUGGAAAAAAAAGAGAAUUUCUCAAGAUUUAUGUCUAUUAUAUUCGAGAGAAUCUUUGAUUCAAGGUUCCUUUGAGGAAAUGACGAAUAUAAGAAAUACAGAGGAACCUUGGAAUAAUUGAAUGAACCAAUGUAGAACCAAGAGACUAGAACAUAAAAUGACUACAAAAAUAUAAACUAAAAAUCUCAAUAUAAAGUGGGGAUGAUUAUAGCCCCUACCUUUCAGGGUUGCUGGGAGUAUAAAAGGAGAUAUUUGUAAAAGACUUUACAAAUUUAAAGCAUGACAUAAAUACUAGCU
This 411-nucleotide long non-coding RNA is filed under the name Monodelphis domestica (gray short-tailed opossum). RNAcentral describes it as "lncRNA (ENSMODG00000038993.1)". Lineage: Eukaryota; Metazoa; Chordata; Mammalia; Didelphimorphia; Didelphidae. The record is from RNAcentral.